RNAcentral lists this long non-coding RNA (1006 nucleotides) under Homo sapiens (human). RNAcentral's name for it is "novel transcript, sense intronic to ZMYND8". The record is from RNAcentral. Lineage: Eukaryota; Metazoa; Chordata; Mammalia; Primates; Hominidae.
UCUCCUUAUACUAGGGUUCGAGACAUGAGGCUGUCUUUUUGGGCCUUUUGCGUUGUCACAGUCCCAGACCACGGAACAUUCUCUCUUCCCCAGGACAGGACAUUCUCUCUUCCCCAGCCUCCUUCCUGUCCUGGCGUUGAGUCUUCCAAAUGGAAAAUUCCAGCCAUAUCAAUUGGUGAUGCACCCAUUUCUUCCUGUGGAACGACAGUCUGAUGGAAUUGCUUCUGGAGUAAAUGCCCAGCUUCUUACCACUUCAGUGUCAGCCUGAAUGUUUGGAAAGUUCUAGCACCUCAAACCAUUUGCAUCUAUGAAAGCAGAACUCUAUUUUUUCCCUUUGGUUUAGCUUGUGAGUUCUCUGUGGGAGGAAGAUCUGAUAUGGCCGGCUCUCUUUCAACCCUAGUUCCAGCAGAGAGAGAGAGAGAAUGUUCUGGGUGACGGACCCUCCCAGCAAAGGGGCUUGCUUUAUUUGCUUCUCUCCCCAACCCUCCACUCUUAGCCUUUGUCUUUUGAAUAAUCCUUCCUCAUUCCACUUUUGUGGUGGGGGAUAAUUAGUCACAACUCAGUAGUAAGCCGUGCCUGCUGUAGAGAGGAAGCAUUCAGGGGGUUGGAAGUGUGGAGACCCCAGUCUGAUUGCUGGAAUCAGUGCUCCUCGGUUCAGUGUUUUGAGACCAGGUCUUUAGCUUCUAGCUGGGCAUAUUUUUCUGCUUUGUAAUUUAACCUGUAUCUUUUUUUUCCCAUGUUCCUGCCUCAUCAGGGAAUUGUAAGAUUUAGGGGGAGGUGUGGGAAAUCUUACUCUUUGCCCUAAAGUAUUCAGCGAUCAGAAUUCUGGAUACCCUGCAAAACACCUCCAACCUCCCUGCCUUUGAACCCUGUGUUAACAAUGAGAAGCUUGUUUAUUUGAAGGCUGGGUUCUCAUUGGCCCACAGGGGUAGGUUGUAAUUGUGUGUCUAAAAAAUUGCCUUUUGCAUUCCCCAAUAGCAUGACAACUGGAAUAGUAAUUUGACUU